CUCCUUCGGGAGUGAUUAAGUGGCGCACGGGUGAGGAACGCGUAGGUAAUCUACCCUUUGGCGGGGGACAACAUUCCGAAAGGAAUGCUAAUACCGCGUAAGACCACACUCACUACGGUGAGAGCGGUUAAAGGUGCCUCAAAGCACCACCAGAGGAUGAGCCUGCGUCCCAUCAGCUUGUUGGUAAGGUAAUGGCUUACCAAGGCGAAGACGGGUAGCUGGUCUGAGAGGAUGAUCAGCCACACUGGCACUGGAACACGGGCCAGACUCC
This 271-nucleotide ribosomal RNA is filed under the name uncultured bacterium. RNAcentral's name for it is "partial 16S ribosomal RNA". It matches the Rfam family "Bacterial small subunit ribosomal RNA", at positions 75 to 339 of the family's 1533-position model. The record is from RNAcentral.